CCUACGGGAGGCUGCAGUGGGGAAUAUUGGACAAUGGGGGGAACCCUGAUCCAGCCAUGCCGCGUGUGUGAAGAAGGCCCUCGGGUUGUAAAGCACUUUCAGUGAGGAAGAACGCCUGGUGGUUAAUACCCAUCAGGAAAGACAUCACUCCCAGAAGAAGCACUGGCUAACUCCGUGCCAGCAGCCGCGGUAAUACGGAGGGUGCGAGCGUUAAUCGGAAUUACUGGGCGUAAAGCGCGCGUAGGUGGCUUGAUAAGCCGGUUGUGAAAGCCCCGGGCUCAACCUGGGAACGGCAUCCGGAACUGUCAAGCUAGAGUGCAGGAGAGGAAGGUAGAAUUCCCGGUGUAGCGGUGAAAUGCGUAGAGAUCGGGAGGAAUACCAGUGGCGAAGGCGGCCUUCUGGACUGACACUGACACUGAGGUGCGAAAGCGUGGGUAGCAAACAGGAUUAGAUACCCUAGUAGUC
RNAcentral lists this ribosomal RNA (465 nucleotides) under Vreelandella stevensii. RNAcentral's name for it is "partial 16S ribosomal RNA". It matches the Rfam family "Bacterial small subunit ribosomal RNA", at positions 338 to 795 of the family's 1533-position model. The record is from RNAcentral. Lineage: Bacteria; Pseudomonadati; Pseudomonadota; Gammaproteobacteria; Oceanospirillales; Halomonadaceae.